This 554-nucleotide ribosomal RNA is filed under the name uncultured archaeon. RNAcentral's name for it is "bacterial SSU rRNA". It matches the Rfam family "Archaeal small subunit ribosomal RNA", at positions 325 to 879 of the family's 1478-position model. The record is from RNAcentral.
AUGGGGCGCAGCAGGCGCGAAAACUUUACAAUGCGGGAAACCGUGAUAAGGGGACACCGAGUGCCAGCAUCAUAUGCUGGCUGUCCAGGUGUGUAAAAUACACCUGUUAGCAAGGGCCGGACAAGACCGGUGCCAGCCGCCGCGGUAACACCGGCAGCCCGAGUGGUGAUCGUGAUUAUUGGGUCUAAAGGGUCCGUAGCCGGUUUGGUCAGUCCUCCGGGAAAUCUGACAGCUCAACUGUUAGGCUUUCGGGGGAUACUGCCAGACUUGGAACCGGGAGAGGUAAGAGGUACUACGGGGGUAGGAGUGAAAUCUUGUAAUCCCUGUGGGACCACCUGUGGCGAAGGCGUCUUACCAGAACGGGUUCGACGGUGAGGGACGAAAGCUGGGGGCACGAACCGGAUUAGAUACCCGGGUAGUCCCAGCCGUAAACGAUGCUCGCUAGGUGUCAGACAUGGCGCGACCGUGUCUGGUGCCGCAGGGAAGCCGUGAAGCGAGCCACCUGGGAAGUACGGCCGCAAGGCUGAAACUUAAAGGAAUUGGCGGGGGAGCAC